RNAcentral lists this ribosomal RNA (442 nucleotides) under uncultured bacterium. Its description in RNAcentral is "partial 16S ribosomal RNA". It matches the Rfam family "Bacterial small subunit ribosomal RNA", at positions 338 to 795 of the family's 1533-position model. The record is from RNAcentral.
CCUACGGGAGGCAGCAGUAGGAAAUCUUUCACAAUGGGCGAAAGCCUGAUGGAGCAACGCCGCGUGCAGGAUGAAGGCCUUCGGGUUGUAAACUGCUUUUAUAAGCGAGAAAUAUGAUGGUAACUUAUGAAUAAGGAUCGGCUAACUACGUGCCAGCAGCCGCGGUCAUACGUAGGAUCCGAGCAUUAUCCGGAGUGACUGGGUGUAAAGAGUUGCGUAGGUGGCAUAAUAAGUAGCUAGUGAAAUCUGGUGGCUCAACCAUUCAGACUAUUAGCUAAACUGUUAAGCUCGAGACCGUUAGGGGUAACUGGAAGUUCUAGUGUAGGAGUGAAAUCCGUAGAUAUUAGAAGGAACACCAAUAGCGUAGGCAGGUUGCUGGGACGGUUCUGACACUAAGGCACGAAAGCGUAGGGAGCAAACGGGAUUAGAUACCCCAGUAGUC